UGGCCCUCUGCUAUAAAGAAAUUUGAGAUGUGAGAUUAAUGAGUAGAUUUUUUUAGUUUAUUAAUUAAACAUUUUCUGACCUCACCAGAUUGGAUGGAUCUAUGGUUCUGUGACUGAAGAUAUUUUGACUGGGUUUAAGAUGCAUGCUCGUGGUUGGAUUUCCGUCUAUUGCAUGCCACCUCGCCCAGCAUUUAAGGGUUCUGCUCCCAUCAAUCUUUCUGACCGUCUCAAUCAGGUGCUUCGGUGGGCCUUGGGUUCAAUUGAGAUAUUCCUGAGCAGACAUUGCCCCUUGUGGUAUGGCUACCAUGGGAAGUUGAGAUCUCUGCAGAGACUUGCUUAUAUUAACACCAUUAUCUACCCCCUUACCUCAAUCCCAUUGAUUGCUUACUGUAUUCUUCCUGCAUUUUGUCUUGUCACAAAUAAGUUCAUUAUUCCCGAGGCAAGUAUUUUUCCUCUAUCUCAUUUUUCUGAUAAGCUUUUAUCAUUUAUGUUGUGUUCCAGCUGAUAACAUUAACAUUUGGUUAAUUUUAUUUCUUUUACUCUUCACAGCUUUGGCUAAAUUUCAUUUCUUUUUUGUACCUGUCAGAUCAACUUGAAAGGUCUUGAUGGUAUUCAGGGCCCAGUCUAUGUGGGAACUGGUUGCUGUUUCAAUAGGAAGGCUUUAUAUGGUUAUGAUCCUGUUUUGACUGAGGAAGAUUUGGAGCCUAACAUUAUUGUGAAGAGUUGUUGUGGUUCUACUAGAAAGAAGGGAAGGGGUGGCAAGAAGAACACUGACAAGAGGGGACUUAAAAGAACAGAAUCGACCACACCUAUCUUUAAUAUGGAGGACAUAGAGGAGGGAGUUGAAGGUAUGCUAAUAUGAUAAUUGUUAUCUUAACUCUAAUUUAAGUUGCUUAUGCAUGUAGAAUUUCAUAUGUUGAAUUUCAUGCAAUUUCAUUUUACCCCCUAUCCCACUGAUCAGCUUCACAAGUAAUUUAUACUAGUUUGCCAUAGUUUGUUUGCCAGAUAUCUAGGCAUGAUUGUCUGAAAGAUGAGAUGACAAUGUUGUUUCCUUCAUGAUAUCUAAUGCAUUCUUUUGCAGGGUAUGAUGAUGAAAGGUUACUUCUUAUGUCUCAAAAGAGCUUAGAGAAGCGUUUUGGUCAGUCUCCAGUUUUUGUUGCUGCUACCUUUAUGGAACAGGGUGGCAUUCCACCUUCAACCAACCCUGCAACUCUUCUUAAGGAAGCAAUCCAUGUUAUCAGUUGUGGUUAUGAAGACAAGACGGAAUGGGGAAAAGAGGUGAAUAUGUCUACUUAUCAUUGUGCUUUUGAUUCUGGCCCUCUGCUAUAAAGAAAUUUGAGAUGUGAGAUUAAUGAGUAGAUUUUUUUAGUUUAUUAAUUAAACAUUUUCUGACCUCACCAGAUUGGAUGGAUCUAUGGUUCUGUGACUGAAGAUAUUUUGACUGGGUUUAAGAUGCAUGCUCGUGGUUGGAUUUCCGUCUAUUGCAUGCCACCUCGCCCAGCAUUUAAGGGUUCUGCUCCCAUCAAUCUUUCUGACCGUCUCAAUCAGGUGCUUCGGUGGGCCUUGGGUUCAAUUGAGAUAUUCCUGAGCAGACAUUGCCCCUUGUGGUAUGGCUACCAUGGGAAGUUGAGAUCUCUGCAGAGACUUGCUUAUAUUAACACCAUUAUCUACCCCCUUACCUCAAUCCCAUUGAUUGCUUACUGUAUUCUUCCUGCAUUUUGUCUUGUCACAAAUAAGUUCAUUAUUCCCGAGGCAAGUAUUUUUCCUCUAUCUCAUUUUUCUGAUAAGCUUUUAUCAUUUAUGUUGUGUUCCAGCUGAUAACAUUAACAUUUGGUUAAUUUUAUGC
RNAcentral lists this long non-coding RNA (1846 nucleotides) under Lupinus angustifolius (narrow-leaved blue lupine). RNAcentral's name for it is "long non-coding RNA (LANG_LNC002368)". The record is from RNAcentral. Lineage: Eukaryota; Viridiplantae; Streptophyta; Magnoliopsida; Fabales; Fabaceae.